UCCAGACUCCUACGGGAGGCAGCAGUGAGGAAUAUUGGUCAAUGGCCGAAGGGCUGAACCAGCCAAGCCGCGUGAAGGAAUAAGGCCCUACGGGUCGUAAACUUCUUUAGUCAGGGAACAAAGGGUGCCACGUGUGGCGCUGUGAGUGUACCUGAAGAAUAAGCAUCGGCUAACUCCGUGCCAGCAGCCGCGGUAAUACGGAGGAUGCGAGCGUUAUCCGGAUUUAUUGGGUUUAAAGGGUGCGUAGGCGGGAUGCCAAGUCAGCGGUAAAAAUGCGGUGCUCAACGCCGUCGAGCCGUUGAAACUGGCGUUCUUGAGUGGGCGAGAAGUAUGCGGAAUGCGUGGUGUAGCGGUGAAAUGCAUAGAUAUCACGCAGAACUCCGAUUGCGAAGGCAGCAUACCGGCGCCCUACUGACGCUGAGGCACGAAAGCGUGGGUAUCGAACAGGAUUAGAUACCCGGGUAUG
Molecule: ribosomal RNA, 466 nt
Filed under: uncultured bacterium
Lineage: Bacteria
Description: bacterial SSU rRNA
Rfam family: Bacterial small subunit ribosomal RNA
Source: RNAcentral